This 478-nucleotide ribosomal RNA is filed under the name uncultured bacterium. RNAcentral describes it as "bacterial SSU rRNA". It matches the Rfam family "Bacterial small subunit ribosomal RNA", at positions 501 to 981 of the family's 1533-position model. The record is from RNAcentral.
CUACGUGCCAGCAGCCGCGGUAAUACGGAGGUUGCGAGCGUUAUCCGGAUUUAUUGGGUUUAAAGGGUGCGUAGGCGGCCUGUUAAGUCAGCGGUGAAAUCUAGGAGCUUAACUCCUAAAUUGCCAUUGAUACUGGCGGGCUUGAGUGUAGAUGAGGUAGGCGGAAUGCGUGGUGUAGCGGUGGAAUGCAUAGAUAUCACGCAGAACUCCAAUUGCGAAGGCAGCUUACUAAGGUACAACUGACGCUGAAGCACGAAAGCGUGGGUAUCAAACAGGAUUAGAUACCCUGGUAGUCCACGCAGUAAACGAUGAUAACUGGGCGUAUGCGAUAUACAGUAUGCUCCUAAGCGAAAGCGUUAAGUUAUCCACCUGGGGAGUACGCCGGCAACGGUGAAACUCAAAGGAAUUGACGGGGGCCCGCACAAGCGGAGGAACAUGUGGUUUAAUUCGAUGAUACGCGAGGAACCUUACCCGGGAU